GACGAACGCUGGCGGCGUGCCUAAUACAUGCAAGUAGAACGCUGAAGGAGGAGCUUGCUUCUCUGGAUGAGUUGCGAACGGGUGAGUAACGCGUAGGUAACCUGCCUGGUAGCGGGGGAUAACUAUUGGAAACGAUAGCUAAUACCGCAUAAUAGUAGAUGUUGCAUGACAUUUGCUUAAAAGGUGCAAUUGCAUCACUACCAGAUGGACCUGCGUUGUAUUAGCUAGUUGGUGAGGUAACGGCUCACCAAGGCGACGAUACAUAGCCGACCUGAGAGGGUGAUCGGCCACACUGGGACUGAGACACGGCCCAGACUCCUACGGGAGGCAGCAGUAGGGAAUCUUCGGCAAUGGACGGAAGUCUGACCGAGCAACGCCGCGUGAGUGAAGAAGGUUUUCGGAUCGUAAAGCUCUGUUGUAAGAGAAGAACGAGUGUGAGAGUGGAAAGUUCACACUGUGACGGUAGCUUACCAGAAAGGGACGGCUAACUACGUG
Molecule: ribosomal RNA, 495 nt
Filed under: uncultured bacterium
Lineage: Bacteria
Description: partial 16S ribosomal RNA
Rfam family: Bacterial small subunit ribosomal RNA
Source: RNAcentral